Penaeus vannamei (Pacific white shrimp) is the source of this 461-nucleotide non-coding RNA. The record is from RefSeq and is a predicted model, not a curated record. Lineage: Eukaryota; Metazoa; Arthropoda; Malacostraca; Decapoda; Penaeidae.
GGCGUCUUACAUAGCGGCUCGGCCAGUGCACUGUGUGAGGCAGGGGAGGGAGCGGCCCACACUUUCUCUGUCUUGUGGUGCCCUCUUUUAAUGACAAUUCGUGAUCUAUAGUCCUCCACGUUUGUCAGAAAGUGCUGCUGACCAUGGAUGUACUGGUGCUUGGUGCUGUUGUGGUGGUGUUGACAGUUGUGGUGUAUUUACUCGCCACUUUGGCACAAAAGAAACCCCUUAUGAAGAAGCUCUUGCUGAACAACGUCAGAAGCAGGAACAGGAACAGAUUGCACUAGCAAAGAGUGACAGCAACAAAAGUACAAAAAUACCAAGCAAAAGAAGCCAAAGGCCAGGAAGGAUGACUUUGAGCAGAAUGGACCAGCAUCAGCAACAAAAGUGAGGAGAUAGCUACAGAACCAGACACCACACCACCUUCUACAGAACCUGAGGCUUCUCCCCAACCCAGCAGG